CGCCUCGCCACUGCCGCGUAGUUAUGUCAAGGCAGCGGGUCGCGUACUAGCUUCGUUAGUACUUGUGCGUCCGUGUCAAUACCAUGUGCUGUAAACUGCUGAACGAAGUGAGAUACUCAUUCAAUUUUGCUCGCCUCUCCAUUAUCUCGUGGUGACGUAAAGGUGACGGCCCGUGUGUUAGUUUCCCCGGUAAUUGUGCCUCCGUAACAUUACUGUGUGCAGUGGUCGUGAGAACUGCGAGGCGGCGGUGUAGACUGUGCCGUGGAGAGCCGCGGGGUGUUGGAAUCGCCUGUCAGUCUCCUUAAAGGCGUCAUAUUCCCUGCCUGCUCUUCCCCGUGUCUUCCUGUCGAUGUUGUAUUAUGAGUGCGGCUCUGUUCUGAGUGACAAUUACCUCAGCACAGCCUCGACCAAUCAGCACCAAGUAUUGAAGUCACGUGAUACUCUCUUCUCGCCGUCUCCUCAGCCAUUCGCCCUGCGCCCGCUGACGUGAUGUGACAGGUCUCCGGUUGUGUUGCAGCGGUGAGGUGGUGUUGCAUCUUUUCUCAGCGGGCGUGUUGUGGUGGAUUGCGGUGUGAAGGGAGAGGUGGAUAGGAGAUAAUUGGUGGGCUGUGCGUGGUGAGUGCCACACUGUCUGUGAGGGACCCCCAGAGCCACACAGCACCAGCUGCAACAGCUACAGCAGCAGCAGCAGCAGCAGGAGGAGGAGGAAAUGGCAUCCACCUUCUACCUCACCCAGUGUCACCGGGGCCUCCUCCUCCUCCAGCAGCUGGCCAGGGUGCAGGGACAGGAUGAGCAAGCAGGUAGUGACAGAGAGGGUGGCCAGCUUGUCCCUGCCUCCUGCCACCCAGCCACAGCACUGGCAGUUGCUGCAGUGAGACUGCCCAGGCACAAGUUUGUGCACGUGUCCAGGACGUGAAGGUGAUGGGAACGUGUCCUGUAGGAAGGAGCAGAGCUGUAACAGUACCCGAGUCUGCUGCUGUGCUGGGAGGAGGAGAAAAACAUCAGCAGUACUUAGUAGUGGCAGUAGUAGUAUUCAGCAGUGCUGCUGCUGCUGCUGCUGCUGCUGCUGCUGUCAGUGGUGCAGCUGUUCACUCCUCCACAGCUGCUGCCUUCCCUCAACAUACUGUGUCUUCCCUCACCUACAAUGAACAACUAUGAACAAUACCUCUCGUGCAAUCAGGCAGCGCUCAGCUGUACUCACCGAUAGACUGACCACUAAGAAUUACCUGUGGGCCACAUGACAAGGCCCACGCCAGCCAGGCUUGGUUGCCAGUCAAUAACAACAACAACAACAACAACAACAACAACAUCUCGUGCAAUGAAGAACACUGAAUAACAACAACACCUCUCCCCUGCAUCAUCAACAAUCAACAACAUCUGCUUUGUUUCACUCAUGCUGCCCCCCCCCCCUCUCUCUCUCUCUCUCUCUCUCUCUCUCUCUCUCUCUCUCUCUCUCUCUCUCUCUCUCUCUCUCACCUCACCUCACCUCACCUCAGGCCACAGCGCCACAGUAUGUCCCCCCACAGUAUGUUUACAAACCCAGUGACUCCCCACAGCCCCUCACCAAUAAGUGAGCCCCUCACAAACACACACACACACACACACACACACACACACACACAGCAUAACAUACACAAACGCUGCAUCUUGUACAAUGGCCAUAAUAAAGAAUGGACACACAAAAUGGACAAA
Long non-coding RNA from Scylla paramamosain (green mud crab), 1692 nucleotides. RefSeq lists it as uncharacterized. The record is from RefSeq and is a predicted model, not a curated record. NCBI's taxonomy places the organism in Eukaryota, Metazoa, Arthropoda, Malacostraca, Decapoda, Portunidae. The transcript has 4 exons.